CCUACGGGGGACAGCAGUGGGGAAUAUUGCACAAUGGGGGAAACCCUGAUGCAGCAACGCCGCGUGAGUGAAGGAGUAUUUCGGUAUGUAAAGCUCUAUCAGUAGGGAAGAAGAAAGACGAUACCUGACUAAGCAGCCCCGGCUAACUACGUGCCAGCAGCCGCGGUAAUCCGUAGGGGGCACGCGUUAUCCGGAGUUACUGGGGGUAAAGGGAGCGUAGAGGGCUGUGCAAGUCUGAAGUGAAAGCCCGUGGCUCAACCGCGGAACUGCUUUGGAAACUGUAUGGCUUGAGUACUGGAGAGGCAGGCGGAAUGCGUAGUGUAGCGGUGAAAUGCGUAGAUAUUAGGAAGAACACCAGUGGCGAAGGCGGCCUGCUGGACAGAAACUGACGUUGAGGCUCGAAAGCGUGGGUAGCAAACAGGAUUAGAUACCCUAGUAGUC
RNAcentral lists this ribosomal RNA (441 nucleotides) under uncultured bacterium. RNAcentral's name for it is "partial 16S ribosomal RNA". It matches the Rfam family "Bacterial small subunit ribosomal RNA", at positions 338 to 795 of the family's 1533-position model. The record is from RNAcentral.